Molecule: ribosomal RNA, 538 nt
Filed under: uncultured archaeon
Lineage: Archaea
Description: bacterial SSU rRNA
Rfam family: Archaeal small subunit ribosomal RNA
Source: RNAcentral
CGGUGGUUUGGGAUGAUAUAAGCCAUGCUAGUCUUUGUAGUAAUACAAGGCAGACGGCUCAGUAACGCGUCCUCUCAUAAUCUAUGGACGGGAAUAACCUCGGGAAACUGACCCUUUUGACCGAUAGAACACUAUGCCUGGAAUGGUUUGUGUUCCAAAUGAUUUAUCGCCGUAGGAUGGGACUGCUGCCUAUCAUUUUGUUGGUGAGGUAAUGGCCCACCAAGACUAUUACAGGUACGGGCUCUGAUAGGAGUGGCCCGGAGAUGGGUACUGAGACACGGACCCAGGCCCUAUGGGGCGCAGCAGGCGAGAAAACUUUGCAAUGUGCGAAAGCACGACAAGGUUAAUCCGAGUGGUUUCUGCUAAAGGAACCUUUUGUCUGUCCUAGAAACACCGAUGAAUAAGGGGUGGCUAGUUCUGGUGGCAGCCGGCCCGCUCAAACACAUCCCGCAGGUCGGGUGGAAGAUUAUUGGUUGUGAACUAUGCGUACCCAGAUCUGUCAGAUUUUUGUUAAAUCUAUACGCUUCACGUACUGGGU